Molecule: ribosomal RNA, 305 nt
Filed under: uncultured bacterium
Lineage: Bacteria
Description: bacterial SSU rRNA
Rfam family: Bacterial small subunit ribosomal RNA
Source: RNAcentral
CAAGACCUCGGGACGCAGCAGUGAGGAAUAUUGGUCAAUGGGAGAGAUCCUGAACCAGCCAAGCCGCGUGAGGGAAGACGGCCCUAUGGGUUGUAAACCUCUUUUGUCGGAGAACAAAACCCGGGACGUGUCCCGGACUGCGUGUAUCCGAAGAAAAAGCAUCGGCUAACUCCGUGCCAGCAGCCGCGGUAAUACGGAGGAUGCGAGCGUUAUCCGGAUUUAUUGGGUUUAAAGGGUGGGUAGGCGGUCCGUUAAGUCAGCGGUAAAAUUGCGGGGCUCAACUCCGUCGAGCCGUUGAAACUGGC